GGUUAAGCGACUAAGCGUACACGGUGGAUGCCCUGGCAGUCAGAGGCGAUGAAGGGCGUGCUAAUCUGCGAUAAGCGCCGGUAAGGUGAUAUGAACCGUUAUAACCGGCGAUACCCGAAUGGGGAAACCCAGUGUGACUCGUCACACUAUCAUUAACUGAAUCCAUAGGUUAAUGAGGCGAACCGGGGGAACUGAAACAUCUAAGUACCCCGAGGAAAAGAAAUCAACCGAGAUUCCCCCAGUAGCGGCGAGCGAACGGGGAGGAGCCCAGAGCCUGAAUCAGCAUGUGUGUUAGUGGAAGCGUCUGGAAAGGCGCGCGAUACAGGGUGACAGCCCCGUACACAAAAGCGCAUGUGCUGUGAGCUCGAUGAGUAGGGCGGGACACGUGGUAUCCUGUCUGAAUAUGGGGGGACCAUCCUCCAAGGCUAAAUACUCCUGACUGACCGAUAGUGAACCAGUACCGUGAGGGAAAGGCGAAAAGAACCCCGGCGAGGGGAGUGAAAAAGAACCUGAAACCGUGUACGUACAAGCAGUGGGAGCACAGGUUUACCUGUGUGACUGCGUACCUUUUGUAUAAUGGGUCAGCGACUUAUAUUCUGUAGCAAGGUUAACCGAAUAGGGGAGCCGGAGGGAAACCGAGUCUUAAUUGGGCGUUAAGUUGCAGGGUAUAGACCCGAAACCCGGUGAUCUAGCCAUGGGCAGGUUGAAGGUUGGGUAACACUAACUGGAGGACCGAACCGACUAAUGUUGAAAAAUUAGCGGAUGACCUGUGGCUGGGGGUGAAAGGCCAAUCAAACCGGGAGAUAGCUGGUUCUCCCCGAAAGCUAUUUAGGUAGCGCCUCGUGAAUUCAUCUCCGGGGGUAGAGCACUGUUUCGGCUAGGGGGCCAUCCCGGCUUACCAACCCGAUGCAAACUGCGAAUACCGGAGAAUGUUAUCACGGGAGACACACGGCGGGUGCUAACGUCCGUCGUGAAGAGGGAAACAACCCAGACCGCCAGCUAAGGUCCCAAAGUCAUGGUUAAGUGGGAAACGAUGUGGGAAGGCCCAGACAGCCAGGAUGUUGGCUUAGAAGCAGCCAUCAUUUAAAGAAAGCGUAAUAGCUCACUGGUCGAGUCGGCCUGCGCGGAAGAUGUAACGGGGCUAAACCAUGCACCGAAGCUGCGGCAGCGACACUGUGUGUUGUUGGGUAGGGGAGCGUUCUGUAAGCCUGCGAAGGUGGCCUGUGAGGGUUGCUGGAGGUAUCAGAAGUGCGAAUGCUGACAUAAGUAACGAUAAAGCGGGUGAAAAGCCCGCUCGCCGGAAGACCAAGGGUUCCUGUCCAACGUUAAUCGGGGCAGGGUGAGUCGACCCCUAAGGCGAGGCCGAAAGGCGUAGUCGAUGGGAAACGGGUUAAUAUUCCCGUACUUGGUGUUACUGCGAAGGGGGGACGGAGAAGGCUAUGUUGGCCGGGCGACGGUUGUCCCGGUUUAAGCGUGUAGGUGUGUGUUCCAGGUAAAUCCGGUUCACUUUAACACUGAGGCGUGACGACGAGGCACUACGGUGCUGAAGCAACAAAUGCCCUGCUUCCAGGAAAAGCCUCUAAGCAUCAGGUAACAUCAAAUCGUACCCCAAACCGACACAGGUGGUCAGGUAGAGAAUACCAAGGCGCUUGAGAGAACUCGGGUGAAGGAACUAGGCAAAAUGGUGCCGUAACUUCGGGAGAAGGCACGCUGACACGUAGGUGAAGUGAUUUACUCAUGGAGCUGAAGUCAGUCGAAGAUACCAGCUGGCUGCAACUGUUUAUUAAAAACACAGCACUGUGCAAACACGAAAGUGGACGUAUACGGUGUGACGCCUGCCCGGUGCCGGAAGGUUAAUUGAUGGGGUCAGCGCAAGCGAAGCUCCUGAUCGAAGCCCCGGUAAACGGCGGCCGUAACUAUAACGGUCCUAAGGUAGCGAAAUUCCUUGUCGGGUAAGUUCCGACCUGCACGAAUGGCGUAAUGAUGGCCAGGCUGUCUCCACCCGAGACUCAGUGAAAUUGAACUCGCUGUGAAGAUGCAGUGUACCCGCGGCAAGACGGAAAGACCCCGUGAACCUUUACUAUAGCUUGACACUGAACAUUGAGCCUUGAUGUGUAGGAUAGGUGGGAGGCUUUGAAGUGUGGACGCCAGUCUGCAUGGAGCCGACCUUGAAAUACCACCCUUUAAUGUUUGAUGUUCUAACGUGGACCCGUUACCCGGGUUGCGGACAGUGUCUGGUGGGUAGUUUGACUGGGGCGGUCUCCUCCUAAAGAGUAACGGAGGAGCACGAAGGUUGGCUAAUCCUGGUCGGACAUCAGGAGGUUAGUGCAAUGGCAUAAGCCAGCUUGACUGCGAGCGUGACGGCGCGAGCAGGUGCGAAAGCAGGUCAUAGUGAUCCGGUGGUUCUGAAUGGAAGGGCCAUCGCUCAACGGAUAAAAGGUACUCCGGGGAUAACAGGCUGAUACCGCCCAAGAGUUCAUAUCGACGGCGGUGUUUGGCACCUCGAUGUCGGCUCAUCACAUCCUGGGGCUGAAGUAGGUCCCAAGGGUAUGGCUGUUCGCCAUUUAAAGUGGUACGCGAGCUGGGUUUAGAACGUCGUGAGACAGUUCGGUCCCUAUCUGCCGUGGGCGCUGGAGAACUGAGGGGGGCUGCUCCUAGUACGAGAGGACCGGAGUGGACGCAUCACUGGUGUUCGGGUUGUCAUGCCAAUGGCACUGCCCGGUAGCUAAAUGCGGAAGAGAUAAGUGCUGAAAGCAUCUAAGCACGAAACUUGCCCCGAG
Molecule: ribosomal RNA, 2780 nt
Filed under: Salmonella enterica subsp. enterica serovar Enteritidis
Lineage: Bacteria; Pseudomonadati; Pseudomonadota; Gammaproteobacteria; Enterobacterales; Enterobacteriaceae
Description: partial 23S ribosomal RNA
Rfam family: Bacterial large subunit ribosomal RNA
Source: RNAcentral